GCAGCUGGAUUGCGGCUUAUUUGACUCAACACUGGAAAUCUCACCAGGCCCGGACACCGGAAGGAUUGACAGAUUGAGAGCUCUUUCUCGAUUCGGUGGGUGGUGGUGCAUGGCCGUUCUUAGUUGGUGGAGUGAUUUGUCUGGUUAAUUCCGAUAACGAACGAGACUCCGUCCUGCUAAAUAGUUGCGACGUCACGCUUGCGUCGCAAAUUCUUCUUAGAGGGACUGGCGGCAUCUAGCCGCACGAGAUGGAGCAAUAACAGGUCUGUGAUGCCCUUAGAUGUUCUGGGCUGCACGCGUGUUACACUGAAGGGAUCAGCGUGUUUUCCCUGACCGAGAGGUCCGGGUAACCCGCUGAACCCCCUUCGUGGUAGGGAUCGGAGCUUGCAAUUAUUCUCCGUGAACCAGGAAUGCCCAGUAAGCGCAAGUCAUAAGCUUGCGUUGAUUACGUCCCUGCCCUUUGUACACACCGCCCGUCGCUACUACCGAUUGAACGUUUUAGUGAGGUAUUUGGACUGGGCCUCUGGUGGUUCGCGCCUCCAGUGUUGCCCGGGAAGAUUCCCAAACUUGAGCGUUUAGAGGAAGUAAAAGUCGUAACAAGGUUACCGUAGGUG
This 614-nucleotide ribosomal RNA is filed under the name Macrocyclops albidus. RNAcentral's name for it is "SSU rRNA". It matches the Rfam family "Eukaryotic small subunit ribosomal RNA", at positions 1174 to 1811 of the family's 1831-position model. Lineage: Eukaryota; Metazoa; Arthropoda; Copepoda; Cyclopoida; Cyclopidae. The record is from RNAcentral.